RNAcentral lists this ribosomal RNA (253 nucleotides) under uncultured bacterium. RNAcentral describes it as "partial 16S ribosomal RNA". It matches the Rfam family "Bacterial small subunit ribosomal RNA", at positions 524 to 776 of the family's 1533-position model. The record is from RNAcentral.
UACGAAGGGGGCUAGCGUUGCUCGGAAUCACUGGGCGUAAAGGGUGCGUAGGCGGGGCUUUAAGUCAGGGGUGAAAUCCUGGGGCUCAACUCCAGAACUGCCUUUGAUACUGAGGAUCUUGAGUUCGGGAGAGGUGAGUGGAACUGCGAGUGUAGAGGUGAAAUUCGUAGAUAUUCGCAAGAACACCAGUGGCGAAGGCGGCUCACUGGACUGGUAUUGACGCUGAGGUGCGAAAGCGUGGGGAGCAAACAGG